UACGUAGGGUGCAAGCGUUGUCCGGAAUUAUUGGGCGUAAAGGGCUCGUAGGCGGCCAACUAAGUCAGACGUGAAAUCCCUCGGCUUAACCGGGGAACUGCGUCUGAUACUGGAUGGCUAGAGGUUGGGAGAGGGAUGCGGAAUUCCAGGUGUAGCGGUGAAAUGCGUAGAUAUCUGGAGGAACACCGGUGGCGAAGGCGGCAUCCUGGACCAAUUCUGACGCUGAUGAGCGAAAGCCAGGGGAGCAAACGGG
RNAcentral lists this ribosomal RNA (253 nucleotides) under uncultured bacterium. Its description in RNAcentral is "partial 16S ribosomal RNA". It matches the Rfam family "Bacterial small subunit ribosomal RNA", at positions 524 to 776 of the family's 1533-position model. The record is from RNAcentral.